GCUUUCAGAAGUAAAGUGAUAUUUGUUACAGUUUUUCUCAGUUGCUUUGGUGCAUUUCUCAAAUGAGAAAUGAAAUUCUCAAAACUACUUGUACAAACUCCACAUCAUCUAGUCAUUUAUACACAUCAUAAAACCAGUUUCUCAUUCUUUUGAACAAGUUGCGAUUACUUUUGUACAUUCAUCCAAUUGAUUAUGCACAUUUAUCUGUGGUUUCCUACAUUAUCAGUUGCUAAUGUCAUGUUGCUCAAAAUGUAUUAUAUGGUUCUCUUUGCAAUAGUCUUACACCUCAAAACAUCUAGGCAUUAGUUCCUUGCAUAAGCCAUUACAUGCAAAAUUGUUGAACUAUUUGUCAUAAACUGUCAAGCAUAGUUUUACACAUUUCUAUUAGACCUUUUGUACAAAAACGUGAAUUGAUGAAUCGUGCAGGUGAAAUUGACCCUCACUCAAGGAAUGUAAAGUGUUAGUUCAACCAACAAUCAACCAGUUGUCAAAGGUGCAUCUCAUGAACAAUCAACUGGGAAUCAUAUAUAGACAGACCACAACACAGAGUUGCAAUUUACCAAUAAUGGAUGGACCAGGAAACGAACAGGGUCAACAGCCAAGAGGAGGAAGAAGAGGAGCAAGGAUGCGUGGUGGAAGGCAAAACAGAGGAAGAGGCAGAUGAGGACAUAGGCGCAUAUCUGAUGACAUUAGAGCCACUAUUGUAGACCAUGUUGUCAAUCAUGGCCUUACUAUGGCUGAAGCGGGUCGAAGGGUGCAGCCGAAUAUUGGGAGAUCAACCGUGUCCUCAAUAGUUCAAACGUUUCGAAGAGAGAACAGGACCGCAAGAUUACCUCAAACCGGUGGCAGAGGACGCCUUUGCACACCUCAACAGGAGGAGGCUAUUUGCACCAUGGUCUGAGCAAACAAUGCUAUGAGACUCAGGGAAAUACAAAGGACCAUUAUAGAAGACAACGAUGUCUUUGAAAACAUCCAUACGGUUAGCAUCUCAACCAUCGACAGGGUGCUGCACAGAAACCAGAUGAGUAUGAAACAGCUGUACCGUGUACCAUUCCAAAGGAAUGAGGACAGAGUUAAGGAGCUACGGUACCAGUAUGUACAGCGUAUAAUGGAGUUGGAAUCAAGUGAACCCUCUCACAACUUUGUAUACGUGGAUGAGGCUGGCUACUGUGAGCUACUGUGGAUUUGCCAGGCCAAAGGGGAGGAAAUAUCACCAUGUGUGCUGCUAUUUCAGAGCAUGGCGUCCUAACCCAUGAUCGUCAGCCACACACACACAGAUGACCCUGCUGGCUGCAAUGGAUGCAGCAUGUGAGGACAUCACAGUAGACGCCUGCAGAGGAUGGAUAAGGCCUUCCAAAAGAUUCUUUCCACGUUGCAUUGGAAGGGAAAAUAUCCGGUGUGAUGUGGAUGAGAAUAUGUGGGCCGACAGACAGGAACGUCUGGAUGUGUAGAGACAGCACUAGAACAGUGCUGUGGGCAAAGUUGUGCCUUAGGGGUGUUUCCUGUGUUUCUUUCUAAUUUAGUUUUUAUUUUCCUUUGUGCCCCUUGUCUUUUUCUUACUGUAAAUUAUUUUGUUGUUUUCUUUCAUAAAGUAGCACUAGUAAAAGCUAUGAAAAACAAAAUCUCUUUUGUCUCUUUCAAUCAAUAACCACAUACAGUAAUAUGUAAAUGGUACUGUUGAAAUUGAUAUAUGCCAUAGAAGUGCAGCCUUGUGCAUUUCAAAUACAGUAACUGUCAUCCAAACUGUAGCCUAAGUUUACAUCUGGUAAUACUGUCAAAGUACACAGUUACAUUGACAACAUGCCUAAACAUUUUGACGAGCUUGUUCGUGAACAAUGACUCAAUGACUUAUCAUUCUGAUGGCACUGACAUGAUCGUUGGCAUGAAUAGGAUUUUUAGUGACUGACUAGCUUUAGAAACAUAUCUAUUGUAUAUUGCAGUUUGUACAAAUUGUUCUGAGAAAUGCACUUAUUAUUUUGCACAUAUUAGGG
Molecule: long non-coding RNA, 1991 nt
Organism: Cyprinus carpio carpio
Lineage: Eukaryota; Metazoa; Chordata; Actinopteri; Cypriniformes; Cyprinidae
Source: Ensembl